This 406-nucleotide ribosomal RNA is filed under the name uncultured bacterium. RNAcentral's name for it is "partial 16S ribosomal RNA". It matches the Rfam family "Bacterial small subunit ribosomal RNA", at positions 29 to 526 of the family's 1533-position model. The record is from RNAcentral.
AUUGAACGCUGGCGGCAGGCCUAACACAUGCAAGUCGAACGAGUGGCGGACGGGUGAGUAAUGUCUGGGAAACUGCCUGAUGGAGGGGGAUAACUACUGGAAACGGUAGCUAAUACCGCAUACCAUCAGAUGUGCCCAGGUGGGAUUAGCUAGUUGGUGGGGUAACGGCUCACCUAGGCGACGAUCCCUAGCUGGUCUGAGAGGAUGACCAGCGACACGGGAACGAGUAAACGGUCCAGACUCCGACGGGAGGCAGCAGUGGGGGAUAUUGCACAAUGGGCGCAAGCCGGAUGCAGCCAUGCCGCGGGUGUGAAGAAGGCCUUCGGGUUGUAAAGCACUUUCAGCGGGGAGGCGGUACCCGCAGAAGAAGCACCGGCUAACUCCGUGCCAGCAGCCGCGGUAAUAC